UGCUCUGGUCCAUCGUACACAGAUUUACUGCCACAAGCCUCUGUUGAAAAAAGAUGAAGAAAAAUCCAGCUCUCAUGAAGGUCAAACAGCAUCACCAAGAAGCGGUAAAUUCAUGGUUGGUAAGUCGAAACCACCUCUUCUUGAAGUUCUUCAUACCAAAUCGUUUCCUACCUUGUGCCCUCUUGAUCAUGAACCUGUUGCAAAGGAGAAGAGGCAGACUGGAGAAAAACUGCCAACAGUGGAAAGUAAGGCACAGGGCUUCCAGCAGAGGACGGCAAGAUGCAACACUCACCGG
This is a non-coding RNA of Podarcis muralis (Common wall lizard), 295 nucleotides long. The record is from RefSeq and is a predicted model, not a curated record. NCBI's taxonomy places the organism in Eukaryota, Metazoa, Chordata, Lepidosauria, Squamata, Lacertidae.